AAUGGUUGGUGAUAAUUAAGAAAUUCCCGAUUCAUUGAGAUCCGUUGUGGGUCCGAUGUCGCAUGAUGGCUUUGGACCCCAUGCAUGAUAAUGAACCCUAACGAUAGGGAUUGCUCAAUAAUUACACCAUGAAAGAAGGAUUCUGUGACAUGAAAAAAGGGUGUUAGAGAAGGCCUUUGGUAGCACUAGGAGGAAGAGUGGAGAAGAUUAGUCAAUAAAGGACUCGAUUGCUGGCCGGAAAACAUCCGGCAGAAGCCGGGAUUGCCAACCAAGCCAGAGCUUUUUGGUUGAUUGUAGUUAAAAGCUGUCUUAUCGGUAUAUGGGAGGGAUCAAUCUCUUGUCUGGCCAAGUUGCAGCUAGCCUGUUUUACUGUAAUUGUAAGAGACAUUUGAUGAAGUUUAUCUCUCCGGCUAAGUUGUGGGCUGUCGGUGCCGAAUGCAUGUUAUGCCGAACACGUGUUUGGGUCAUUCUUCUUGCCUAAUCAUUUCUCUUUGAAGAAGAGAUAUAAUUUCCUCAUCUCAGCUCCAGCUAGCCUUGGUGCUAACUGAAUCCUGGCAAUGGCAUAUACACUUUUAUGCAAAAGUGAGUCUGGGAAACCAAAGCCAGAAGAGAUCAAUGAAAUGUGGUACUUCCUCUUCAUGAUUUAUAUACAGAGCGGAAUCCUGAAGGUCAUGUUGUAUUUCUAGUUAAUUAGGAAACGACAUCCCGUUUUUUGAAUCUUAUAUAGACGACAUGUCUAGUAUAACCAAAACUGUAUUUCAGCAAGAUCUUGUAUAUUUAUAUAUAGUGACUGUUUUUUUUCU
Long non-coding RNA from Alnus glutinosa, 803 nucleotides. RefSeq lists it as uncharacterized. The transcript is spliced from 3 exons. The record is from RefSeq and is a predicted model, not a curated record. Lineage: Eukaryota; Viridiplantae; Streptophyta; Magnoliopsida; Fagales; Betulaceae.